UUUUUUUUUUUUUUUGCAAAAUGUAAAAGAAAAAAGUGAUACUUGACGCACAGAGAGUCAGCAGAACGUCAACGUCGUCGCGUUUGCCCCUUUUAGCAUACGCGUGUAAAAAUUCGAUUACGCAAGCCGCGCACGCCCAACAAACAAACAAAAAAAGAGAAGCACAUAUAGGUGGCUGAUGGUCAAAUUUUUUUUCGAUAAAAACGCAGCUUCCAAGUGAAUUUCCUCAAAGACUUGCAUAAAAAAAAAAGAAUCUUAGCAUGUACACAGAGACGGAGACAAAAAAAAAGAAAACGAUCGCGCGAGCAGUGACGCGCGAGUUGCAUAUAAUAAUCUUUCUGUUUUGAUAAUAUGUCAUAGCAGAAAAGAAGAAGUUCUCUCUCUCUCUCUCUCGCUCUCUUUCUCUAAUUAUAUCGAUUUAUCAGUACAGCAGUCUUGUAUACGUGUACAUACACUUCCCCCAAAUAUCAUGCAGUUCCUCAAUGUUAAGGUUACACACUCCGUUAUCUGUCGUCGCAGCUUGUUGUUCUCCCUCUCGUGCUUUGCAUGCGCUCGAUUGAUGGUUAGUUAUCGAGUGGUAUAUAACAUACAAGCCCUCUCUCGCUCUUAUCGAUCAACAGCCCGUUAUACGCUUAUUGAUUAAUCGAUACAAAUCGGUAUUAUAUGCUUUUCUCUCUUUAUUCCGAUACGUGUACAUUAUAAUGUACUUCGUAUACAGAAGCUCAUUUCGCGCGUGAGUAUGUUGUAUUGAAGAUCGCGUGUGCGAGGUUGUAUGCGUAUAGCAGACCUUUGAGUCGGUAAUGGUGUAGUCACGCUAAUAAAGCCGUAUUAAGGCUUAAUGGUCGACGCACUGAUAUACAACGCGCACGUGUGAAAAUCCAUGACCGAGAGUGGAAACAACUCGACUGGAAGUUGAAAAUUUAGAUUUGAGGACACACCAGGCCGAUUUUUUUUUUUUUUUUUUUUGCGGGGCAGAGGUAAUCGAAGAGAGCUUUCAUUUGAUGGCUGGUGGGUUAAAAAAAUGAUUGCCUAGGUCAGAAGUUGUCUAGGCUUAAAAAUGGCAAAAAAUCACGAAUAAUUAAAUUAUGUUAUAUUAUCAACCAGCCGGGGCUCAAAUUAAAGCACCUUACAUCUAUACCUUCGCUUUGAAAAUUUAGUCCAAUGUUUUAAUUUUAUGAUUGAUAGGCACAUAUACAGCUGAUCGUAAAAUUGAAAUGUUAGUCUAAUUUUUCGAAACGAAAGCAGAAGAAAGGAGCUAUACAAUUUGAGCCCCGGACCGUUGAAAUUUCGUAAAAAAAUGAAAAAGCGCCUUCAGACAAAAAGUCGAAAUUUUCGGGUUUUCGUUAAUUUUCCAUAAGAGAAUUUGAAAGAAAAGGCCAUUUGAAUUUGGUAGUUUCCACUCGGUCGUGAUUUACAUGUCAACUUUUUUCUCUUUCACUCGAUGAUUGCAAUGUGCAUCAGCUUUUUACGGCUGUUCUUCCUCGUUAAUGGAUAAUUUCUUUUUCUCCUCAAUUUAUUACAAAUGAGUAAACGCCCGCGUGGCCGGUUACGCACGCACACACGCAUCGGUUAAAAUCCACACAUAACGUGCACAUAUAUCACAUACAGAGAUGUUAAAACAACUGUUAGUUCAUAAUUAUAAUAUAUGGUUAGUUACAUAAUUUUAUAUAAAUUGUGUACAGAAAUGAAUCAAGCACCGCCAGAGAGCAUAAUACAAUAUCCACGUGCUUCAAGUAUAUGUGCAAAGAGUAUACAGUGCGCGAAAACCUCAUCAAAGUUUCUCUGCCUCUCGAUUCGCAUUAAGCCAUUACAUUACAAGCGUUUUGCAUUACAUAAUAUAUACUAUAUGUAUAUAUAUAUAUACCAAUUCGUUUUGAAUUUCAGAGCAGACGAAAUUGCCAUAAGCGAAAAAGCACGACUGUAUAUGAAAUGUCACGCAGUCCCCUCGAGAGGCACGAUAAAGGACAAUUACGAUGAUGUGCAGUAUACCUGAGGGUGGACCGAGCAACCGUUGACUUCCACAUGGGUAACGAUCCUCCGCGAGAAGCCGACAGAGAUGAAAGAACCGGACAACGACGAGCCAGCAGAAGUCGCCCCAGAAUCCGUGAACUUGAAACCCAAUUUUGCCGGCUAUAGUAGCGCGAGCUCCGACAGCAGCGAACCUUCGUCUUCGGUUAUAGGUUGCGGAGCAGCUGGUGUUGGAAAGAUUGGAAAACAUUAUACCAAGCAAGAUUUACGAAAAGAUUGAUUUCAAUAUUUUGGAGCAAGAGGUGUUUUUCAAUAUUCAAGUGACAAAGUGCAGAUUAGGCUGUCCAGAUUUGAAGCCUCUAUUGUCAUUUGUACUCAAGCCUUAUCUGAAGGCUCAUAAAGUCAACAGCAACACAGUUGUUGCGAUUGUUCAAAAAAAGUGGGAAGAUGACGUUCAAGUUCAGAAGGUUCUUUAUUCCAAAAAGAGAUUGUCCCUCAUCGAUGAUCCAAACUUAGUGGAUGUGCAGAAGGAGCUCUCUUCGUCCAAGGACUAUACUUCCAUUAAAAUACUGUUUCGGGUUGAAAAUACGUCGCUGAGUAGUUUUUAUGAUAUUAUGCUGGCCUACAUCAUGCAAAUAGAGUCGUACGAUCCUAAUAUCAAGUUUUUAUUCAGAAAAGGUAGUGAAUACAUUUAUAGAAAUCAAGUUUGGAUGGAUGAUGUCGUAUUGUCCUGUAAAAUCUUUAGCUCUGCUUGUGCAAAAAUAAUUAAAAAUAGUAACAAUGACCGUUUUCGCAAAGAUAUGAUGACUUUGCUUGGUGCGAGGAAAUCAACUGGUGUUGAAGCUGCUCUUGGUUGCAAGUUAAUAGCCAAGGCUAAUAAUCAAUUCAAGGUACCAAUUAAGAACUCAAAGACUGAGAAGCAAGAUUCUAUGGAUGUGGAUUCACAGAUAGAAUCAGAUACGAUGGACAUAGUUUAACUAACGUCUAAUUUUAUGAAACAAGUUCCUGAUUAGAUGAAGAUUUUUUAAAAAAACGAAAAAAAAAAAUCAUGUUUUUUAAAUAGAGAAAUUGAUUACGCCAGCAAUAGAAUUAAGAUUAUUCAAUUGCUUUACUGAUAUAGUUAGUACAAUUGAAAUAAAGUAGAGCUGUAAUUGAUUAAAUGUAUGCGCUUAAUUGUAUCAAUUGACAUGAUACGAAUUGAAAAACUUAGCUGAUUACUUUCACUUUGAUAAUGAAUUUUUUUAUUUAUACAAAGUUGUUUCAAGUAGAUAAAUAGAGCAAUUGAUAAGCAAAAAAUUGUUCAGUUCAUGUAGUACAUACAUACUUGUAUAAUUGCAAGUAAGAACAAAUAUAUAAUUUUAAUGAAAAACGGUUGGGUUCUUUCAUUUUUCAGCUAUGUUAUUCAACUGCGGUUUACCAAAUGAAAAUGUAGACAUCAGACCAAGUGACAGUUCAUAAAUUUAUUCUUCAUUUAAUUCCAUUGCCUCGAUAAGGCGCAGCAAAUCUUGGUUGCUGUAGUAAUCGAGAGUCCCCUCCCCUUCAACUCAGCACGGCCUCAAAGAUUUCCAGUUUUGGAUCAUGCAGCACGCAGCGCUUGGCCAGGUGCUCGAACACAAUCGACCUCGUGAUGAAGCUGGACCCACUGCUUCUCCCAGUCCGGUGUUACUGGCUGGUCGAGAUCUGCACGAGCAUCAACCUCAAGAUCGAGCACUUGCCAGCGUGCUUUGAGCAGAGGUGGAACACCAAAAAUACCUACAUCGUUGACAACUGCACAUAGGCACACUACGUGCAGCCACGAGUCCAUGUACUCCUGCUCUUUCUUCCGCUACUCUGCGCUUCUUCUUCUUCUUAUUAGUCCAGCCGAGUAAGCUUCUUCAAUGAGUCCUAUAAAGAGUUGGAAAAAUUGAAAACCCUUACGAAUUGCUAGAGAGCUGUCGAUCAAUCGAUUUUCGCCUUACUACCAAUCCAAAGUAGGACAGUAUACCUCGUACGGUGAGUCUAGUUUACUCAAGUCGGCUCCACGAUCCAGAAGCAGUUUGAUAUCUGCACUACCGCUAUUAUUUUCCUCAAAAAGAUAGCUAGAUAUCAAUGCAACAGAUGUAACAAAAUCGUAGAAAACAUAAUAGAACAGAAAAAAUGCA
Nasonia vitripennis (jewel wasp) is the source of this 4109-nucleotide RNA transcript. RefSeq lists it as uncharacterized. The record is from RefSeq and is a predicted model, not a curated record. NCBI's taxonomy places the organism in Eukaryota, Metazoa, Arthropoda, Insecta, Hymenoptera, Pteromalidae. The transcript has 3 exons.